AUUGUUGGCAUCUGUAUUCUUGAUUAAUACCCUUGUUUUUCAAGAUGUACUUGCAGUAAAUAUAUUUGCUUUUUAAUUCUUGGUUAGCAGUUGAAAUGGUGAGUUUCAGAAGGUUAAAAAGGUAAUUUUGUCUUAAGUGAAUAAAACAAAUUAUUAUAACAGCAUCUUAUAAAUUAGGGAUCCCAAGCUGAUUUCUAAACAUUUCUACUGAGUAAAGAAAUUAUACCAAAUAUUUGAUUAGCUCAUUCUAUUUAAUUUUUGUUUUUGUUUUGUAUCAUGGAUUAGGUACUAGAACCACAGAAUGUCGAUCCUUCUAUGGUUCAAAUGACCUUUCUAGAUGAUGUUGUUCACUCUUUGUUAAAAGGUGAAAAUAUUGGCAUUACAUCACGACGCAGGUCUCGUGCCAAUCAAAACGUCAACGCUGUUCACAGCCAUUAUACACGUGCCCAAGCAAAUAGUCCCAGACCAGCAAUGAACUCCCAAGCUGCUGUACCAAAACAGAAUACACACCAGCAACAGCAACAAAGAAGUAUCCGUCCAAAUAAGAGGAAGGGCUCAGAUAGCAGUAUACCAGAUGAAGAGAAGAUGAAGGAGGAAAAAUAUGAUUAUAUAUCACGAGGAGAAAAUCCUAAAGGUAAAAACAAA
RNAcentral lists this long non-coding RNA (645 nucleotides) under Homo sapiens (human). RNAcentral describes it as "long non-coding RNA NONHSAT157072.1". Lineage: Eukaryota; Metazoa; Chordata; Mammalia; Primates; Hominidae. The record is from RNAcentral.